Molecule: long non-coding RNA, 2954 nt
Organism: Astatotilapia calliptera (eastern happy)
Lineage: Eukaryota; Metazoa; Chordata; Actinopteri; Cichliformes; Cichlidae
Source: Ensembl
UAUUUGUUCCUAUCUGUGUGUGUAUAUUCUUUUCUUUGUGUACCUAGCCCCACAGGUGUGCAAUAAACCCAGAGAAAUCCCAGAAACGGUGUUGAACCCAGCACCUUCAACGUCUGGUGACACUGAACCUCAGAAAAGAGUUGACAACAAGAAAGCCAAUCGAAGGUCAACAGAUGCAACUUUUCCUGACCCGUGUGGACCACCGUGCGAAGCUCUGACAAAGCCUGAGAACAUUUUGGCCAGCCGUUCAUCAUGGUGUUUUGUACCGCACCCUGGCCAACAACAGCUUCUCAACUAUGUUCUGGACAUCAGCAGACCCAAAGAUGAGCUGAUUGUUGAAACGUCUUCUGGAUGCCUCACGCGGUCAGAUUUUUGGACACUGGGUUUAAACAAAGAAAUGGAAUCGACUGUAAGUAUUUUUUUUCUACGAAUAUGAAAAAAUAAAGUGUACAUUCAUUGUUAUCAUGAUUUUUUUCUGUUUCAGAUUGGAAAUGGCUGUUUUGAGCUUAUCACUAAAAUUGUUCAGUCAAAGGUACUGUAUGUUGUAUAUGAUGAUUGUCAAGCUUUAAUUUAAAGAGCUGUUGUUUUAAAUGUUUUUUUGUUUUUUUUUUUUACAUUCUAGGGGAUAAGCAUUUACAUCGAAAAUCUGUAUGUCACCCGGACUUGGCUUGCACCCUAUGGCUGUGAUCCAUUGCGGUCCUUUCCUACUGAUGCUCAGAGGAUGGACAUCAUAGUUCUCCCUCUCUGGACACCUGGUCAUUUCCAGUUGUGUGUAAGUCUUGUUUUUUGACACGUACAAACUGUUAGAAUUUUGCUAUGUGUCUGAGAUGUAUUCAAGCUUUUAUGACGCAGUUUCAAAAGUCUUUGACUGUGAUCGCUUGCAAUGACAUUGUUUUCAGGUUUGAAGUCAUGGCUAACUGUCUUUUAGGUACUGAAGCCACCUAAAAGAGAAAUCCUCUUUCUUGACCCAUUAUACACCAAGGCAGGAUUUGGUGGCCAACAAUAUGUUUCACUUUUGAGGUCACAUUUUUAUAAGCAUUUUUGGUUUGUUCCGGAGUUUUCAGGAACCUGUUCAGUGUUCCAGGUUAAGUGCAUCCCAGAUCAUGUUCUGCUGAUCUUGAGUGUUCACACAUACAGUACACUCACAUGCUUUUUCUAUAAACUAUAUCAGCAAGUUUCUGUGUGGAGUUUGCAUGUUCUCCCCAUGUUUGCGUGAGUUCCCUCCGGGUACUCCGGCUUCCUCCCACCGUCUAAAGACAUGCAGCUUGUGGGGAUAGGUUAAUUGGAUAAUCCAAAUUGCCACUAGGUGUGAAUGUGGGAGUGAAUGUGAGUGUGAAUGGUUGUCUGUCCCUGUGUGUUAGCCCUGCGACAGACUGGCGACCUGUCCAGUCUGUCGCCCUAUGACAGCUGGGAUAGGCUCCAGCGCCCCCCGUGACCCUGAAAAGGAUAAGCGGAAGCGAAUGGAUGGAUGGAUGGAUGGAUGGAUGGAUAUAUCAGCAUGAUGCUUCAACAUUUUAUUCUCAUCUUCAAAUUAUGAUCAAGUCAGUGAUACUGUCUGUAGAUGAGUUUCAGACAUAAAUUGGGUCUUCCAGUGUUCUAUUUUAACAUAAAACACCAUUAAAAAUUAUUUUAUAAAAUAUGCCAACAUUAACUUAAAGCUGUAAAUGCUUUAUUUUGACCAACUGUGAGCAUGUGACUGUACUUUUUCAUUUUGUUAUGCUGUUUUUUUGAGGUCGUGUUCCUAAGGCCUGUAGUUACAGUUGGUGCUAUUAGCAAUAAACAUUUCACACCCAUCAUGAUCAUCAUCUGUUAACUUGUGAAUGUAACUGUUUUUUUUAAAAAAAAAAGGAAUCUUGCAGUGAAGAUCAUUCCCGGGCAGUGGUCAGAAAAAAAGAGCUGUGACUUGAAGGUAUGUGCUAGUUUAAGUGUAUGGUGAAUAAUAUGAAUUACACUAGUCUUCUUUUAAGGGAUUUUAUUAAAGAGCCUUUAUUUUCAAUGUAAUACAGGGUUUUCCAAGCCAAGACUAUGGAGUUGACUGUGGGAUCUUCAUGCUGAUGGUAAUUUGUCUCUUCUCUUCUUGAGAUUCAUACAGAAGCUAAUUUAAGCUUCUAAAGAAAAAUGACAUUUUUAUUUUUUCUUACAAAUAGUCUGCUCUGUACGUGGCACUGGAUGCUUCAUUUGACUAUACUAUAGUAAGUAUUCUAUUUACUUUCACAGCAAUGGAGUCUUGAAUCUUUUGAAAGUUGUUAAAUAUGUUUCAUAUUAAUAUUUUACAGUCAGACAUGCCCUACUUGCGUAAAUGGUGGUGCUUGCUGUUGAUGGAGAACUUUGAUCUCAGGAGCUCUGGCAAGCUAUUUGCACACUGGAGAGAGGAAGCCAAAGCUGUGCUUGAAGGACAACACGUGCCCAUUUUCAGAGUGAAAAAGCGCAAGUUACAGGAAGUCAGUCAGGAGCCAGCAGUUGUUGCAGAUCUGCGUCCUGCUGUGCAGUGGGUUGUCCAAAAUAAGGCACUUUUCCGUGGACACGUAACAAUGCCCAAAUAUGUGUCCUUAAAUCAAGGAGACCAGCAGAGGGUCUUAAGAGACAUGUCAGAGGAAGAAGACACUGGAGCAAGGGACUUGUUCCUCUUUGUUUUUCAGUUUGCAGAGGACAUGGAGCUCUUUUUGAAUGCAUGUGCUGAUGAGCAGGGGCUAAGGGUCAGUGCUAUGUUUGACAUGUGAUGGACAAAUGAAGGCACUGGCUGUGUUUGUUUGUUUGUUUAAUAUGUUGUUGUUGUUGUUGUUUUUGCGUAGUACAAAAUUCCUAUUAAACUUAUUUCAAAAUGUUGUUCACUUGAUUCUGUGUCCAUACUUAUAAUAAAGGAUUACAGUGUAACAGCAUUAAAUGUAAAAGCAUUUUUUUUAAACUUGUAAUUUCAAAAUAAAAAGCUUAUUGUUGAUAUUAACAGUAAAUAA